GUUUCAAUUCCUCAUAGGCAGGCUAUCGGCCCCUCUGUGAGUGGGGUCAUGUUUCCGUCCCACUCAGG
This 68-nucleotide small RNA is filed under the name Acididesulfobacillus acetoxydans. RNAcentral's name for it is "Peptococcaceae bacterium INE non-coding RNA". Lineage: Bacteria; Bacillati; Bacillota; Clostridia; Eubacteriales; Peptococcaceae. The record is from RNAcentral.